This 611-nucleotide ribosomal RNA is filed under the name uncultured marine eukaryote. RNAcentral describes it as "SSU rRNA". It matches the Rfam family "Eukaryotic small subunit ribosomal RNA", at positions 613 to 1230 of the family's 1831-position model. The record is from RNAcentral.
UUGCAGUUAAAAAGCUCGUAGUUGGAUUUCGGAACCGGCCGAUUGGUCCGUCCUCUGGAUCGUGUACUGAUCGGUCUGUUCUUCUUCGCGAAGACCGCGUGUGCUCUUAACUGAGUGGGCGUGGGAUUCGCGACGUUUACUUUGAAAAAAUUAGGGUGUUCAAAGCAGGCAGUCGCUUGAAUAUCUCAGCAUGGAAUAAUAGAAUAGGACUUUGGUCUUAUUUUGUUGGUUUCCGAGACCGAAGUAAUGAUUAAUAGGGACAGUUGGGGGCAUUCGUAUUUCAUUGUCAGAGGUGAAAUUCUUGGAUUUAUGAAAGACGAACUUCUGCGAAAGCAUUUGCCAAGGAUGUUUUCAUUAAUCAAGAACGAAAGUUGGAGGCUCGAAGACGAUCAGAUACCGUCCUAGUUCCAACCAUAAACGAUGCCGUCUGCGGAUCGGAGGUCGCUCAUGUAAGGCUCCUUCGGCACGCUAUGAGAAAUCAAAGACUUCGGGUUCCGGGGGGAGUACGUUCGCAAGAAUGAAACUUAAGGGAAUUGACGGAAGGGCACCACCAGGAGUGGAACCUGCGGUUUAAUUUGACUCAACACGGGAAAACUCACCAGGUCCAGACA